AUUGAACGCUGGCGGCAUGCCUUACACAUGCAAGUCGAACGGCAGCGCGGGAGCAAUCCUGGCGGCGAGUGACGAACGGGUGAGUAAUAUACCGGAACGUGCCCAGUAGUGGGGGAUAGCCCGGCGAAAGCCGGAUUAAUACCGCAUACGACCUACGGGUGAAAGGGGGGGAUCGCAAGACCUCUCGCUAUUGGAGCGGCCGAUAUCAGAUUGGGUAGUUGGUGGGGUAAAGGACCACCAAGCCUACGAUCUGUAGUUGGGCUGAGAGGACGACCAGCCACACUGGGACUGGGACACGGCCCAGACUCCUACGGGAGGCAGCAGUGGGGAAUUUUGGACAAUGGGGGCAACCCUGAUCAAGCAAUGCCGCGUGCAGGAAGAAGGCCUUCGGGUUGUAAACUGCUUUUGUCAGGGAAGAAAUCCCUUGGGUUAAUACCUCGGGGGGAUGACGGUACCUGAAGAAUAAGCACCGGCUAACUACGUGCCAGCCGCCGCCGUAA
This 500-nucleotide ribosomal RNA is filed under the name uncultured bacterium. RNAcentral describes it as "partial 16S ribosomal RNA". It matches the Rfam family "Bacterial small subunit ribosomal RNA", at positions 29 to 523 of the family's 1533-position model. The record is from RNAcentral.